GGAAAGGGGCGGCAUGCUAUACAUGCAAGUCGAACGAGCUUCCGUUGAAUGACGUGCUUGCACUGAUUUCAACAAUGAAGCGAGUGGCGAACUGGUGAGUAACACGUGGGAAAUCUGCCCAGAAGCAGGGGAUAACACUUGGAAACAGGUGCUAAUACCGUAUAACAACAAAAUCCGCAUGGAUUUUGUUUGAAAGGUGGCUUCGGCUAUCACUUCUGGAUGAUCCCGCGGCGUAUUAGUUAGUUGGUGAGGUAAAGGCCCACCAAGACGAUGAUACGUAGCCGACCUGAGAGGGUAAUCGGCCACAUUGGGACUGAGACACGGCCCAAACUCCUACGGGAGGCAGCAGUAGGGAAUCUUCCACAAUGGACGAAAGUCUGAUGGAGCAAUGCCGCGUGAGUGAAGAAGGGUUUCGGCUCGUAAAACUCUGUUGUUAAAGAAGAACACCUUUGAGAGUAACUGUUCAAGGGUUGACGGUAUUUAACCAGAAAGCCACGGCUAACUACGUGCCAGCAGCCGCGGUAAUACGUAGGUGGCAAGCGUUGUCCGGAUUUAUUGGGCGUAAAGCGAGCGCAGGCGGUUUUUUAAGUCUGAUGUGAAAGCCUUCGGCUUAACCGGAGAAGUGCAUCGGAAACUGGGAGACUUGAGUGCAGAAGAGGACAGUGGAACUCCAUGUGUAGCGGUGGAAUGCGUAGAUAUAUGGAAGAACACCAGUGGCGAAGGCGGCUGUCUAGUCUGUAACUGACGCUGAGGCUCGAAAGCAUGGGUAGCGAACAGGAUUAGAUACCCUGGUAGUCCAUGCCGUAAACGAUGAGUGCUAAGUGUUGGAGGGUUUCCGCCCUUCAGUGCUGCAGCUAACGCAUUAAGCACUCCGCCUGGGGGAGUACGACCGCAAGGUUG
RNAcentral lists this ribosomal RNA (900 nucleotides) under Levilactobacillus brevis. Its description in RNAcentral is "bacterial SSU rRNA". It matches the Rfam family "Bacterial small subunit ribosomal RNA", at positions 29 to 896 of the family's 1533-position model. Lineage: Bacteria; Bacillati; Bacillota; Bacilli; Lactobacillales; Lactobacillaceae. The record is from RNAcentral.